This 484-nucleotide ribosomal RNA is filed under the name uncultured bacterium. RNAcentral's name for it is "partial 16S ribosomal RNA". It matches the Rfam family "Bacterial small subunit ribosomal RNA", at positions 30 to 507 of the family's 1533-position model. The record is from RNAcentral.
AUUGAACGCUGGCGGCAGGCCUAACACAUGCAAGUCGAGCGGAUGAAGGGAGCUUGCUCUUGGAUUCAGCGGCGGACGGGUGAGUAAUGCCUAGGAACCUGCCUGGUAGUGGGGGAUAACGUCCGGAAAGGGGCGCUAAUACCGCAUACGUCCUGAGGGAGAAAGUGGGGGAUCUUCGGACCUCACGCUAUCAGAUGAGCCUAGGUCGGAUUAGCUAGUUGGUGGGGUAAAGGCCUACCAAGGCGACGAUCCGUAACUGGUCUGAGAGGAUGACCAGUCACACUGGAACUGAGACACGGUCCAGACUCCUACGGGAGGCAGCAGUGGGGAAUAUUGGACAAUGGGCGCAAGCCUGAUCCAGCCAUGCCGCGUGUGUGAAGAAGGUCUUCGGAUUGUAAAGCACUUUAAGUUGGGAGGAAGGGCAGUAAGUUAAUACCUUGCUGCUUUGACGUUACCAACAGAAUAAGCACCGGCUAACUUCGUG